AUUUUGUCUACAACAAAAGCAGAUCCAUUCUGAUAAACAUACCAGCUCUAAACAUUUUCUGCUUAUCUUUAUAUUAAUUGUACUAAACAACACAACUGCAGACAGCAAGAAAAGCCUGUUCUCACCAUCUCCUUUGUUGCCUACUCUAAAAUACAAGGCGUGUGUGCUUAGCAGAACAAUGCAGCUGUUUGUGCUUUUAUUUGUAGUUCUAGUGUCUGGCAAUUACCAGGGAAAAUAUAGUUUGAUAAGAAAUCGAAUCUGUUCCACUCAGUCAAAAUUUUAAGUGUACAUUAAAUAUCCAUAGUGUCAAUUUAUGCCUAGAAAUCAGAUUUAUUUUAUUUUCCAGAUUUUACUCAACAUUACUAUGAAGCCAAGCAUCUGUAAUCUUAAAAUUUUAAUAAGGUGAGGACAGGAACACAACCAUUUUGCUGCACAGAUGUAAGCCAAGAAUUUCAGUGCCGUUACUCAGGACACGUAGAAGUCAAGCACAUUGUUACAGGUUGCUUCAGUUUCUUCAGCAGACUACAAGAGGUGAGAGCUCAAGUAAGAAGAGCUGAAAUGCGCUGUCACCGAGACCAGAGCUCCCGCAACAUGCAAGCUACUUGGAGCAUAGACUGUCAUGCUCUAACUGAACUGCAAGAGUGAAUCAAGGCGCUACAGUAAUGAAGGACAGCCACGGGUAAGGAAGGAACGUGGCCAAAGUGCAGAAGGAACCUGACAUACUGCAUGUUUACUUCACCACUUCAUGCCUGGAUUUUACCCAUCUGCAGUGUGGCAGAGAAAAAAUGAACCAAGAGGAGACCCAAGUAGGACAGAAAUAUUUUAAGCAGAAAUACAAAAAGCUAUUUGCGAUCUCCAAACCAAUGGGGGCAAAUCCGCUGCUCUGUUCAAGAAGUCCUGAGUGCAUGGUGUGCAGGGGGAUGAACGAGGCUGCCUGGUCUGCUGCUAUGGGAAGAGCGUUAUAAAGGGGUCAGGGCAGGGGCCUGCAGGAAGGUGCACAGGCUGCUCCGGCUACUGAGGUAAAACAGCCAGCAGGGAGCAGCCCAUCAGCCUAGAAGGGAAAGGCAGAUUCCUUUCCCCUCUGCAUGCCCAGAGCCUGACUCAGUGCCACGGACUGGCCUGUGGAUUUUGCUCCCAGCAGCACAUGUGCAAGGCUCCAGCCAGUUGCAGCAACUCACAGUGAGCUGAGUGCAUUUAUUUCUCCUGAGAGGUAAAGUCCAGGGAGGCCAUCCACGUACAGCUCUGUUCUAGGUGUCACCGCCUCUACUCUGCAGGACAAAUACAGAACGUGGGUCCUGGCAGGUCAAGAGCAUGGCCAUUUACCUUUCAAAAGCUACUUGACAUUUGGGGGUUACGGAUGAAGUCCUAAGCAGUUUCUGUAUUUUUCAAAAGCAUUCAAAUGCUGCUUGAAUAAUUGACAGCCAGCCUGGGAGCAUGGGGCCGACAUGAAAGGAGGAAUGACAGCCUGAUCACCCCACUUCUCCCCACUGUGGCAAACUGAAACCUAACCAAUAAGCUAGGUGCUGCUUGUGCCAUCCACAAGGCUGCCGGAAGGCUGCCGUGCUGAUCUCAAACUCCGGUGUAUUUGCAUUACCCUGAUUGUGCCAACCACACCGACUUGCACCCUCUCCUCGCUAAGAAUGCUGCUUGCAGCAGAUGGCAAUAUCAACGGAAGUGUUUCUAGGUACUGUCAAGCCGCCUGAAAUGUUUCUCAUUUACCACACUCUCCACAGCUGCACCACUCAAGUCUGUUGUGCAUACAGAUUUAAGUCAAAGCUGGCGUCAUUUGGCAAGCAGUGCACUCAUCUCCACUUGAGAGUUGCAAACAUGAAGCUGCUGGGCUGGAAACCACCUGACACGGCCAGUUCUCCCUCUGGUGGCUAAAGGGAAACUUCCAGUUCCAAGCUGGGAAUAUUGAAAGCCUUUGCAUCUGCAGGGUUAAAUGUUGAGAAUGAAUCUACCUACCACGAUUCUGACUCUGCUGUGAAGUAUUCUCGUCCCUUGAAAGCAACAGCACAGUGAAACAAAAAGCAAGUGCUUUGCUAACCCCUAGGAGCACCAGAUGUAGCAAGACAGGCAGUUUUGUUUUGGAGGCGUCUAGAAUGAAUGUUGUACUCGACAGGACGUGGAUCAGCAUCAGCAGGGUUUACCCCACUCUUAGGAAACCGCAGUACCUGUUCCAAAGGGAAGGCUGAAAGAGCUUCCCAUGGGAAGUCAAGGACACGUCCACGCAGCACAGAAACAGCCCCUGGCAGGAACACACUGCUCAGGCUGGAAGUCACAGACACUCGGUUACAGGCGGUUUUUCCUUCCAAGGUGAAGACGGCGACCUUUGCUUGCUGUCCAGCUCUUUUAAAGCAGGCUGAAGGCAGCCCCAGUGUUAACUUGUCCUGCUACACCAGCCCAGAGACAAAAACAGCCCUGCUGGCUUCAAAUGGUGACAGGAUGCCAUGCCUCUCAGCUCAUUUCCCCCACUCCAAUGCUUGUGGAGCCACAUGUUCAAACAAAUAAGCUUUAAAUAUUUUCUAAGCAUUUAUGACAUGUUUUAACUACACUGCUGCCAUGUCCAGGCUGGGCUUUUGGAGCUGCUGACUCAAGGCACAUGCUGGGGACAGUCCUUGAGCAGCAAGGGAUGAAAGAUAGGGCAGAAUGAGUUGUCCUGGACUUUUCAUAUCCAGACCUUGUUUGCUAUUUUGUUCUCCUUCAAAUAUAGACUUGGAAAAGAAAAAAAGGGGCCAUUUUGGGUGCAUGAAGUGAAAGCAUCAAAACACUUUCAACUAAGCUUUCUAAUGAGGAUUUUGUUAUUAAAAACAUUCUCUCCGAGAGGCUGCCCAGUCCGGGGUCCUAAUCGCUGGGGUGGGAGUUAGGAACCCUGCGUUUUAGUCCUGGCUCCACUUCGAACAGGCUACAUCACCACCCUUCCUUUUGUGUAAACUGGAGGACUGCCUACUCAGCUCACAAGGGCGUUGAACGGGUAUAUUAAGACAUGUUUACACGAGGUGUCUGGACAACACAAUGCCAAGCAGUUCUCUCAGGAAGAAAUUUUGGCUCAGCAAGAGAGCUGAGAACUGUGCAGGGGCAGGAUACAGUUUGUUGACUCUGCUGAGGUAAGUACAUGAUCAAGCCCAGACAUUCCUGAUUAAUUGAUAAUGUUGUCCCUACUGUACUGCUUUGUUUGGAUUUUUUUUUUUUUUUUUUUUAUGGAGAAGCUAAAUGCUUCUGCUGCUUUUCACAGGCACCUAAAACAGCAGAGGCAAAGACGUUGCCUGAAAGUUACUUUUACUACACGUGUUUAAGAAUGUGGUGGAAGAAAAGAGCACUGCUGGCCAGCAAACUGAGUUGGUAUUUUUCUGCUACAUGUUCUUGAAUUCAUUCAAUGCACCUCUUUUGAAAAAUAAAGUUACCUGGAGAGGCAGUUA
Alligator mississippiensis (American alligator) is the source of this 3419-nucleotide long non-coding RNA. RefSeq lists it as uncharacterized. The transcript is spliced from 2 exons. Lineage: Eukaryota; Metazoa; Chordata; Crocodylia; Alligatoridae. The record is from RefSeq and is a predicted model, not a curated record.